CCUACGGGUGGCAGCAGUGAGGAAUAUUGGUCAAUGGCCGGAAGGCUGAACCAGCCAUGCCGCGUGAAGGUCAGUGCCCUAUGGGCGUUAAACUUCUUUUGUGCGGGAGCAAUAAUGGUCACGUGUGGCCAGACGAGAGUACCGUACGAAUAAGCAUCGGCUAACUCCGUGCCAGCAGCCGCGGUAAUACGGGGGAUGCAAGCGUUAUCCGGAUUUAUUGGGUUUAAAGGGUGCGUAGGCUGUGAGGUAAGUCAGCGGUGAAAUGCCCCCGCUCAACGGGGUGAAGUGCCAUUGAUACUGCCUGGCUGGAAUGCGGAUGCCGUGGGAGGAAUGUGUGGUGUAGCGGUGAAAUGAAUAGAUAUCACACAGAACACCGAUUGCGAAGGCAUCUCACGAAUCCGCGAUUGACGCUGAUGCACGAAAGCGUGGGUAUCAAACAGGAUUAGAUACCCUAGUAGUC
Molecule: ribosomal RNA, 460 nt
Filed under: uncultured bacterium
Lineage: Bacteria
Description: partial 16S ribosomal RNA
Rfam family: Bacterial small subunit ribosomal RNA
Source: RNAcentral